UCUCUCUUUUUGUUUUUGCAGCCACCCAGAUUGAUCCCAGUGAACUACAGGAACUUUUUCAGGAGACUUCAGCCAAUGUCUUCCGAAUUAAUUCCAGUGUGACCUCUCUGGAAAGAAGUCUUCGAUCUCUGGGGACCUCCAAUGAUAAUCAAGAACUUCAGGAUGGACUGCAUGCAACCCAGCAAGAGACUAAUAAAACCAUCACGACUAGCACCAAAGCCAUCAAGCAGCUGUCUGAGGUUGUCAGAGGCUCAUCCAGGCAAGAACGACUUCAGCUGGAUAGACUGAAGAAUCAGCUGUCUGAUGCCAUCCAAAGAUACGGAGCUGUGCAGAAGAAAAUAGCAGAGAAAUCCAAAGCUUUGCUUCCUACUGGGCAGAGAAGUAGCAAACAAGUAAGUUCAUGUUUGUCU
This is a non-coding RNA of Meleagris gallopavo (turkey), 410 nucleotides long. The record is from RefSeq and is a predicted model, not a curated record. NCBI's taxonomy places the organism in Eukaryota, Metazoa, Chordata, Aves, Galliformes, Phasianidae.